RNAcentral lists this ribosomal RNA (406 nucleotides) under uncultured bacterium. RNAcentral's name for it is "partial 16S ribosomal RNA". It matches the Rfam family "Bacterial small subunit ribosomal RNA", at positions 30 to 526 of the family's 1533-position model. The record is from RNAcentral.
AUUGAACGCUGGCGGCAGGCCUAACACAUGCAAGUCGAACGAGUGGCGGACGGGUGUGUAAUGUCUGGGAAACUGCCUGAUGGAGGGGGAUAACUACUGGAAACGGUAGCUAAUACCGCAUACCAUCGGAUGUUCCCAGAUGGGAUUAGCUAGUAGGUGGGGUAAAGGCUCACCGAGGCGACGAUCCCUAGCUGGUCUGAGAGGGUAACCGGCAACACUGGAACUGAGACACGGUCCAGACUCCUACGGGAGGCAGCAGGGGGGAAUAUUGCACAAUGGGCGAAAGCCUGAUGCAGCCAGGCCGCGUGUAUGAAGAAGGCCUUCGGGUUGUAAAGUACUUUCAGCGGGGAGGCGUUACCCGCAGAAGAAGCCCCGGCUAACUCCGUGCAAGCAGCCGCGGUAAUAC